Small nuclear RNA from Protopterus annectens (West African lungfish), 164 nucleotides. RefSeq annotates it as U1 spliceosomal RNA. The record is from RefSeq and is a predicted model, not a curated record. The transcript has a single exon. NCBI's taxonomy places the organism in Eukaryota, Metazoa, Chordata, Ceratodontiformes, Protopteridae.
AUACUUACCUGGCAGGGGGAAUACCACAAUCAAGACGGUAGUUUUCCCAGGGUGAGGCUCUUCCACUGCACACUUCAGUUGGGUCAACCCCUGUGAUUUCCCCAAAUGUGGGAAACUCAAUUGCAUAAUUUAUGGUGCUGAUGGCACAGGGGAUAGUGCCCUCA